Molecule: ribosomal RNA, 245 nt
Filed under: uncultured bacterium
Lineage: Bacteria
Description: partial 16S ribosomal RNA
Rfam family: Bacterial small subunit ribosomal RNA
Source: RNAcentral
UGGGUAACCUGCCUCAAAGAGGGGAAUAGCCUCCCGAAAGGGAGAUUAAUACCGCAUAAUAUGUUUAGGUCGCAUGACUUUAACAUCAAAGGAUUUUCUUUUAGAAAUUCCACUUUGAGAUGGACCCGCGGCGCGUUAGCUAGUUGGUGAGGUAACGGCUCACCAAGGCAACGAUGCGUAGCCGACCUGAGAGGGUGAUCGGCCACAUUGGAACUGAGACACGGCCCAGACUCCUACGGGAGCAG